This is a long non-coding RNA of Tribolium madens (black flour beetle), 1500 nucleotides long. RefSeq lists it as uncharacterized. NCBI's taxonomy places the organism in Eukaryota, Metazoa, Arthropoda, Insecta, Coleoptera, Tenebrionidae. The transcript has 3 exons. The record is from RefSeq and is a predicted model, not a curated record.
UUCAGGAUCAGGGAUUAGCGACAACGAAAAUAGUCGGAAAAUUACGCGUCAGUUAAAAUAAGCUUACCGAAAAUUUUGAGUUAGUUCCAAAAACGGGGACUACUUCGGAAAGCAAAAGGGAGAUAAUAUUAUACUCAGUGGUGGCGUUUUUAAGACACACUUCACAGACGGCGAUGAGUGAGCAAGUGGCACAAGCAGACACGACAGAACAGCUGAGAGGAACCGUUCCAACAAUACAGCUCAUCUGGGUAUAGCCCCAAAAAUAACAUACACCUUUUCUCGUGCAUUAUGCAAGCUUGGCAAUGCCAAAACGCGAAAGUCGCGUUGCAUCCGCGACUUCAUCUAAGACCAAGUUGACACAUGGUAAUAGUAUUAUAAUUAGCGCAAAUAUUUGGAUCAUGGGAUCACCGGGACAACAAAAGUUCAACGUGAAGCGACGAAGGUCAAUCAGAGGAAAAAUCACGGUUCCUGCUCACCUGUUCUACUACUAGCAGCGCAACCCCACCGAAACAUAUCGCAUGCAAAAAAGAACAUCACACAACAAACAGACAAGGCUUACAUUUUAAAUUUGAAGAUUAAAAAAAAUGUGCUGCAAUUUUCGGUAAAUAUAGUGCAAAUUGAAAGUGGAGUACCGACACAAAUUAAAUUAGUUGCCAUUAUAUAAGAUAAGAAACACGCAAGCGCAGGAGACGUCGCAAAAGCAGAAAUUAGGAUAAAUCUAACAACAUUUAAAGCGUUUGCCACUAGAUGACACUUCGAGUUGGAAAAUUUCUCCGACAAAAUCAACCAUUCACAGUUCGAAAAAAAUGAUCUCAUCCAAAAAUUUUCCAGAAAAUUAUUCUUUUAACAGGAAAAAAAGAUCAGAUAAUAAAGAAACGGAAAAAUUGGCAGUCCUGUCCACAGCAAAGAAGACUCAAUGUUGUAUUUACUGCUGAUCCACACAGAAGUCGUAAUCAAAGGCAAUACAAACAAUGACUGGAAAUACAUCGCGUAUUUGUAAAUCUUCUCCACGGUUUUGUUACCAAUGCUGUUCCAUCUCUCCAUUCCGAUGAUCGACGUUACCGCAACUGUUGCAUACGUCAUUUCCUGCCAAAAUUGCGUGCGAUUCAACGAAGCAACGACUAGGGCCCAUUUUAAAUCAAAGUGACUUCUUUUGUACAAAAACUUUAGUUUGCCGUUCUGGGAAUCCAAAAAUAAAGAUAAUUUACUAUUCUAAUUUUUAAUUUUGAACGAAAUGACAAAAAAAUGUCAAAAACUAUAACCCAGGUAUGUUUAUCUUAACAUAAUUUUUUCACACGCUGUCUCCUAAUAACAAUUACUAUGCCACCUAAAACGUUUUGAUUAUACAGCAUAAUGGUGUUCACAAUAAGAUGUCUUGACAAUAAUAAUAAUAAUAAUAAUAUUAAGUGUUUUGGGUGUUUUGUAGCUAAUAGACAAAAAAAAUACAAGUAUAAUCCAUUUCAUUGAAAUUGGCAUAACAGUAGGCCAUGAUUGUGUAAA